This 404-nucleotide ribosomal RNA is filed under the name uncultured bacterium. RNAcentral's name for it is "bacterial SSU rRNA". It matches the Rfam family "Bacterial small subunit ribosomal RNA", at positions 355 to 776 of the family's 1533-position model. The record is from RNAcentral.
UGGGGAAUCUUGCGCAAUGGGCGAAAGCCUGACGCAGCCAUGCCGCGUGGAUGAUGAAGGUCUUAGGAUUGUAAAAUCCUUUCACCGGUGAAGAUAAUGACUGUAGCCGGAGAAGAAGCCCCGGCUAACUUCGUGCCAGCAGCCGCGGUAAUACGAAGGGGGCUAGCGUUGCUCGGAAUUACUGGGCGUAAAGGGAGCGUAGGCGGACAUUUAAGUCAGGGGUGAAAUCCCGAGGCUCAACCUCGGAACUGCCUUUGAUACUGGGUGUCUUGAGUGUGAGAGAGGUAUGUGGAACUCCGAGUGUAGAGGUGAAAUUCGUAGAUAUUCGGAAGAACUCCAGUGGAGAAGGCGACAUACUGGCUCAUUACUGACGCUGAGGCUCGAAAGCGUGGGGAGCAAACAGG